This 102-nucleotide transfer RNA is filed under the name Candidatus Woesearchaeota archaeon. RNAcentral's name for it is "tRNA-Leu". Lineage: Archaea; Nanobdellati; Candidatus Woesearchaeota. The record is from RNAcentral.
GCCGGGGUCGUCUAAGCAGGUAUGACGCUUCGCUCAAGACGAGGUGGCGCCUCGAACGCCGUACGGGUUCGAAAUGCUAUCACGGACUUCCCGUCCCCGGCG